CCUACGGGUGGCAGCAGUGGGGGAUAUUGCACAAUGGGGGAAACCCUGAUGCAGCGACGCCGCGUGUGGGAAGACGGUCCUCUGGAUUGCAAACCACUGUCCCCAGGGACGAAGAUGACGGUACCUGGGGAGGAAGCUCCGGCUAACUACGUGCCAGCAGCCGCGGUAAUACGUAGGGAGCAAGCGUUGUCAGGAUUUACUGGGUGUAAAGGGAGCGUAGGCGGGAUGGAAAGCUGGGUGUUAAAUCUACCGGCUCAACUGGUAGUCGCACUCAAAACUGCUAUUCUUGAGUGAAGUAGAGGCAGGCGGAAUUCCUAGUGUAGCGGUGAAAUGCGUAGAUAUUAGGAGGAACACCAGUGGCGAAGGCGGCCUGCUGGGCUUUUACUGACGCUGAGGCUCGAAAGUGUGGGGAGCAAACAGGAUUAGAUACCCCUGUAGUC
Molecule: ribosomal RNA, 440 nt
Filed under: uncultured bacterium
Lineage: Bacteria
Description: partial 16S ribosomal RNA
Rfam family: Bacterial small subunit ribosomal RNA
Source: RNAcentral